AAUGUGAUGACGUUGUCGGUUAUGAAAAUCUGACUAUUACAAGAGUUUGCACCUUCAACUGGCUAGUUCAAUUAUGACAUCUAGUUUUCUUACUUUCCUCAGAAGAUUCCAGUGUGAUGUCACGACUAUGCCUGCUGACGUCACAAAGAAGAUACUCUUCUUUUUACAAAUAUUUAACAAAGGAGUGUAAAGUGUAAAGAAACAGAUACCUCCACC
RNAcentral lists this long non-coding RNA (216 nucleotides) under Mytilus galloprovincialis (Mediterranean mussel). The record is from RNAcentral. Lineage: Eukaryota; Metazoa; Mollusca; Bivalvia; Mytilida; Mytilidae.